This 329-nucleotide ribosomal RNA is filed under the name uncultured eukaryote. Its description in RNAcentral is "partial 18S ribosomal RNA". It matches the Rfam family "Eukaryotic small subunit ribosomal RNA", at positions 1470 to 1796 of the family's 1831-position model. The record is from RNAcentral.
CCCUUAGAUGUCCUGGGCCGCACGCGCGCUACACUGAGUGUCUGAGAUACGAGUCUGCCUGGUCCGGCAAGGUCUAGGUAAUCGCUAAAAGACACAUCAUGCUUGGGAUAGAUUAUUGCAAAUAUUAAUCUUGAACGAGGAAUUCCUAGUAAGCGCAAGUCAACAGCUUGCGUUUAUUACGUCCCUGCCCUUUGUACACGCCGCCCGUCGCUACUACUGAUUGGAUGUUUAAGCGAGGUUCUCGAACUGCUAGCGACUUAGCUUCGGUGAGGUCGCAGUGUGGGAAGUGAACCUAGCUUUGGUGUCUAGAGGAAGUAAAAGUCGUAACA